This 75-nucleotide transfer RNA is filed under the name Gordonia phage Nedarya. RNAcentral's name for it is "tRNA-Leu". It matches the Rfam family "tRNA". From Rfam's summary of the family: Transfer RNA (tRNA) molecules are approximately 80 nucleotides in length. Their secondary structure includes four short double-helical elements and three loops (D, anti-codon, and T loops). The record is from RNAcentral. Lineage: Duplodnaviria; Heunggongvirae; Uroviricota; Caudoviricetes.
GCCUCUCUAUCCCAACUGGCAGAGGAGCUGGAUUCAGAAUCCAGAUGUUCGGGGUUCGAAUCCCCGGAGAGGCAC